Long non-coding RNA from Zalophus californianus (California sea lion), 1410 nucleotides. RefSeq lists it as uncharacterized. Lineage: Eukaryota; Metazoa; Chordata; Mammalia; Carnivora; Otariidae. The record is from RefSeq and is a predicted model, not a curated record. The transcript is spliced from 4 exons.
AUCCUACUUUUAGAUACAGUUGGAGGUUCAUUAUCCAAGAUAUUGCAGUUUGGAAUUGUAACCCUGUCAUGUUGCCCUGUCACAUCUAGAAGGAACUGUUCAUUGCCAGAAAGAAAAGCGCCUUCUCCAGCACUCAUGGAUCCCAGUUAGUGGUGUUUACUGAAGUGAGAAAGGAUUUGCAGCUGUUUGGAGCCUGAGUGGCAGAUGAAACCGACUUGGAGACUUCUGGGGUACAAGUAUGAGUUACAACGCAGAGGCUGCUGCAUGAUGCCCAGAUAGCACAUAGGCCACCUCCACACUCAGAGAGCUGAGGAGAUCUCAGGACGACCAUCAGAAUUUGCCAUCAGUGGACUAAAUGACAAGCUGGUUACCUCAGUGGAAAUUCCACAAGGAGAUAAAUCCCUUCCUAUGACCUCAAUAUUUCAACGGAAUGCUUCCUGGCAUUAAAGUCUGUAAGCCCCACUGGCUGGGCCCAAAUUCAAGGAAAGCCCAAAAAGUCUGCAAACUGGAAAAAUGAAAUGGAGAAUGUAAAUAUUAUAAAGAGAUGACAUCUGAAACAGUUUCAAAAUAAGAGGGAAUGACUUCUUCAAGUUUUAAGAUGAGACACUGAGAACUGAGCUAUUCAAUGAAUUAUAUAUAAAAGCAGCCCCCAGGAACACAACCUACUCCAUGUACUGCUUAGGGAAGCCCAAUAUUUACAGAUUCAUUCAGUGGCACAGCAUACCUGUAAAGUAAGACCAUCAUUCCCAUUUUACUAAUUAGGAACAGGCUGAGGUCAGGGAAUUUACUCAAGGAGCCUUAGCAAGAGUAUCAGUGAAAAGACCUGAACUCCCAAACCUGUGCUCAACAUAACGCCACCAUCCCGUUCUAGAACUUGACUCCCUUGGCUCUCAUGCCUUUGAUCUUUAAGAUCUUCUACCUAGCCAAGCCCUAGGCUUCUUCUUUAAAUGCUCCCUCUCAAAACAGAACUCUCUCAUGUGUCAAAGUUUCAACUACAAAAACAAUCACAGAUGACUCAACUCUCACUUUCUGGAACUCCUCUCUCUCAAUCCAAAGACCAACGUCGGAAGCUAAAUGCAGUAACACAUUAUCUUCCCAUAGAAUGUCAGAAGGAUCUUAAAAUACAAGACGAGCCACUUUCCUAUUAAAUUUUUCUUAUCACUUGAAACAUCAGCAAGUGUUCUGGAUGCGAUCACGGAUUCUAUCUCCAAUGUGACAUCAAGUGGUGAAGAGACCAAUGGAAACUGCCUGCCUACAUGAGAACACAAUAUUGUCUAGGAAAUGCACGCACCAGGAAGAACAGAGGUCUGGAGGGAAUGGAAAGGAAGAUUCCAGAAUCCUACAAAAUAUCAUUUUUCCACACCAGUGACAGCAAUGGGAACAGAAGACUCAUGAAGUACCCUGAAGACC